RNAcentral lists this non-coding RNA (340 nucleotides) under Pan troglodytes (chimpanzee). Lineage: Eukaryota; Metazoa; Chordata; Mammalia; Primates; Hominidae. The record is from RNAcentral.
GGGGUUGCUUGCUGGCUGAAAGGAAGGAGAAUCAAAUUUGGAAAUAUCUGAAAGGAAAUCCAGAUAUAGGCUAUUAAUAGACGAGAGGUGAAGCUAGGCUAUAUCAGCUGCUGAGGUAAUUAUCCAGUUGAUAUUUAUCUUGUUCCAGUCACCUUAAGAAAGCUGUUUGGUUUUGGAAAUCACUAGUGGGUAAAAAAGACCAAUUUGCAACUAGGCUCUCAUGCUCUAUUGAAAACUAUGUCACAAUAUCACAAUACUAGAUGCUGGGCUCAAGAGAGCAAACAGAAAGCAGCAAGGGCAGUGACUGGAAGCUGGGAGAGAGGGUCAACAGCUGAAUCUC